Molecule: ribosomal RNA, 443 nt
Filed under: uncultured bacterium
Lineage: Bacteria
Description: partial 16S ribosomal RNA
Rfam family: Bacterial small subunit ribosomal RNA
Source: RNAcentral
UCUACGGGAGGCUGCAGUGGGGAAUAUUGGGCAAUGGGCGCAAGCCUGACCCAGCAACGCCGCGUGAAGGAAGAAGGCUUUCGGGUUGUAAACUUCUUUUCUCAGGGACGAAGCAAGUGACGGUACCUGAGGAAUAAGCCACGGCUAACUACGUGCCAGCAGCCGCGGUAAUACGUAGGUGGCAAGCGUUAUCCGGAUUUACUGGGUGUAAAGGGCGUGUAGGCGGGAAAGCAAGUCAGAUGUUAAAACAAUAGUCUCAACCUGUUGCCUGCAUUUGAAACUGUUUUUCUUGAGUACUGGAGAGGCAGACGGAAUUCCUAGUGUAGCGGUGAAAUGCGUAGAGAUUAGGAGGAACACCAGUGGCGAAGGCGGUCUGCUGGACAGCAACUGACGCUGAGGCGCGAAAGCGUGGGGAGCAAACAGGAUUAGAUACCCUUGUAGUC